This 390-nucleotide ribosomal RNA is filed under the name fungal sp. RNAcentral describes it as "SSU rRNA". It matches the Rfam family "Eukaryotic small subunit ribosomal RNA", at positions 827 to 1218 of the family's 1831-position model. The record is from RNAcentral. Lineage: Eukaryota; Fungi.
CGCGCGGUUCUAUUUUGUUGGUUUAUAGGACCGCCGUAAUGAUUAAUAGGGACAGUCGGGGGCAUCAGUAUUCAAAUGUCAGAGGUGAAAUUCUUGGAUCAUUUGAAGACUAACUACUGCGAAAGCAUUUGCCAAGGAUGUUUUCAUUAAUCAGGAACGAAAGUUAGGGGAUCGAAGACGAUCAGAUACCGUCGUAGUCUUAACCAUAAACUAUGCCGACUAGGGAUCGGACGGUGUUAUCAAUGACCCGUUCGGCACCUUACGAGAAAUCAAAGUGCUUGGGCUCCAGGGGGAGUAUGGUCGCAAGGCUGAAACUUAAAGAAAUUGACGGAAGGGCACCACCAGGGGUGGAGCCUGCGGCUUAAUUUGACUCAACACGGGGAAACUCAC